AGAGUUUGAUCCUGGCUCAGAACGAACUUUGGCGGCGCGUUUUAAGCAUGCAAGUCGAGCGGCAAGGGGGGCUUCGGCCCCCCCUAGAGCGGCGGACGGGUGAGUAACACGUGGACAAUCUGCCCCCCGGUUCGGGAUAGCCCAGGGAAACCUGGAUCAAUACCGGAUGCGAGGGCGGCCGCAUAUGCGGCUGUUCGGAAAGGCGCUUCGGCGCCGCCGGGGGAUGAGUCCGCGUCCCAUUAGCUAGACGGCGGGGUAAGGGCCCACCGUGGCGAUGAUGGGUAGCCGGCCUGAGAGGGUGUACGGCCACAUUGGAACUGAGACACGGUCCAGACUCCUACGGGAGGCAGCAGCUAAGAAUCUUCCGCAAUGGGCGAAAGCCUGACGGAGCGACGCCGCGUGAACGAAGAAGGCCGUGAGGUUGUAAAGUUCUUUUCGGGAGGGGGAACGAGCCUGCCAGGCAAUGGGCGGGCGCUGACGUGAAUCCCGGAAUAAGCCCCGGCUAACUACGUGCCAGCAGCCGCGGUAACACGUAGGGGGCGAGCGUUGUUCGGAAUCAUUGGGCGUAAAGGGCGUGCAGGCGGCCGCCAAAGUCCGGCGUGAAAGACCCAGGCUCAACCUGGGGGGUGCGCCGGAUACUGGGCGGCUUGAGUACAGGAGGGGACGGCGGAAUUCCAGGUGUAGGGGUGAAAUCUGUAGAUAUCUGGAGGAACACCGAUGGCGAAGGCAGCCGUCUGGCCAUGUACUGACGCUGAGGCGCGAAGGUGCGGGGAGCAAACAGGUUUAGAUACCCUGGUAGUCCGCACAGUAAACGAUGUGCACCAGGCGGCGGGGGCAACCUCGCUGCCGCAGUUAACGCAUUAAGUGCACCGCCUGGGGAGUAUGCCCGCAAGGGUGAAACUCAAAGGAAUUGACGGGGGCCCGCACAAGCGGUGGAGCAUGUGGUUUAAUUCGAUGAUACGCGAGAAACCUUACCAGGGCUUGACAUGGAGCUAAAGGCCCUAGAGAUAGGGAGAUAGUUAUAGCUCACACAGGUGGUGCAUGGUUGUCGUCAGCUCGUGUCGUGAGAUGUUGGGUUAAGUCCCGCAACGAGCGCAACCCUUGUCGUUAGUUACCAUCAUUUAGUUGGGGACUCUAGCGAGACUGCCGGUGACAAACCGGAGGAAGGUGGGGAUGACGUCAAAUCAUCAUGCCCCUUAUGACCUGGGCUACACACGUACUACAAUGGCGAGUACAACGGGAAGCGAUGUGGUGACACAAAGCGGAUCUCUUAAAACUCGUCUCAGUUCGGAUCGAAGUCUGCAACUCGACUUCGUGAAGUCGGAAUCGCUAGUAAUCGCGGAUCAGCAUGCCGCGGUGAAUACGUUCUCGGGCCUUGUACACACCGCCCGUCAA
RNAcentral lists this ribosomal RNA (1395 nucleotides) under uncultured bacterium. RNAcentral's name for it is "bacterial SSU rRNA". It matches the Rfam family "Bacterial small subunit ribosomal RNA". The record is from RNAcentral.